GGUGUCGCUGGCGCUGCUGGGCUCGGAGCAGAGCGAGGCGGCGGGCGUGCUCUACCGCAAGCUCACGCACGUGACUCCAUCAUCCACAACUACGGGCUGCAGCUCAACGAGGGCCGCACGGGCGAUGAGUUCCUGCUGCCGUUCACCAUGUCCUCCAACCACCGCGCCUUCAGCUUCCACCAGAAGCAGGUGCUGUGCCAGGAGCUCACGCAGAUCCAGAGCAGCCUGAACGGCGGCGGGGGCCACCUGCCUGGCCUGCCACAAGCAUUUUUGAAACAUUGGGGUUGUUGGAGUGGUUGGAUUUUCCCUGGAAUUGAGUGAGAAAUUCAGAAGACUGAAGCCCAGGCUUACUGUCUACCUUUCACGGAGGCCUAGCCGUGAGAGGACAGAAGAAGGCAUGUGGCGAAUCAUGACAGCAGACAAAGACAAAGAGAAGGACCGGGACUGAGACUGGGACUGAGAGAGAGAGAAAAGAGACAAAGCAAGAGAGAGUGAGAAUUCAAGGCCACGCCGGAGCUGUACCUUGGAAGGAGGAGCCAAAAAUUAUGCUGAGAGUGAUCACAGUGAAGACGAGGACAAUGACAACAAUAGUGCCACCACAGAGGAGUCCACGAAGAAGAACAAGAAGAAACCACCGAAGAAAACGUCUCGUUAUGAAAGGACAGAUACCGGCGAGAUAACAUCCUACAUCACUGAAGAUGAUGUUGUCUACAGACCAGGAGACUGUGUGUAUAUCGAGAGUUGGAGGCCAAACACACUGUAUUUCAUCUGUAGCAUUCAAGACUUCAAACUGGUAAGCAUUUU
RNA transcript from Homo sapiens (human), 804 nucleotides. It is a transcript of the gene named arginine-glutamic acid dipeptide repeats pseudogene 3, with no coding region annotated. The record is from RefSeq and is marked validated. NCBI's taxonomy places the organism in Eukaryota, Metazoa, Chordata, Mammalia, Primates, Hominidae. The transcript is spliced from 3 exons.